Molecule: ribosomal RNA, 301 nt
Filed under: uncultured bacterium
Lineage: Bacteria
Description: partial 16S ribosomal RNA
Rfam family: Bacterial small subunit ribosomal RNA
Source: RNAcentral
CAGCAGCCGCGGUAAUACGUAGGGUGCAAGCGUUAAUCGGAAUUACUGGGCGUAAAGCGUGCGUAGGCGGUUCGUUAAGUCUGUUGUGAAAGCCCCGGGCUCAACCUGGGAAUGGCAAUGGAUACUGGCGAGCUAGAGUGUGUCAGAGGAUGGUGGAAUUCCCGAUGUAGCGGUGAAAUGCGUAGAGAUCGGGAGGAACAUCAGUGGCGAAGGCGGCCAUCUGGGACAACACUGACGCUGAGGCACGAAAGCGUGGGGAGCAAACAGGAUUAGAUACCCCAGUAGUCCCUGUCUCUUAUAC